CCUACGGGAGGCAGCAGUGGGGAAUAUUGGACAAUGGGCGCAAGCCUGACCCAGCAACGCCGCGUGAGGGAAGAAGGCUUUCGGGUUGUAAACUUCUUUUAGCAGGGACGAAGAAAGUGACGGUACCUUAGGAAUAAGCCACUGCUAACUACGGGCCAGCAGCGGCGAUAAUACGUAGGGGGCAAGCGUUAGCCGGAUUUAGUGGGUGUAAAGGGCGUGUAGGCGGGGGAGCAAGUCGGAUGUGAAAACUCAGGGCUCAACCCUGAGCCUGCAUUUGAAACUGUGUUUCUGGAGUGCUGGAGAGGCAAUCGGAAUUCCGUGUGUAGCGGUGAAAUGCGUAGAUAUAAGGAGGAACACCAGUGGCGAAGGCGGAUUGCUGGACAGUAACUGACGCUGAGGCGCGAAAGCGUGGGGAGCAAACAGGAUUAGAUACCCGGGUAGUC
This 443-nucleotide ribosomal RNA is filed under the name uncultured bacterium. RNAcentral's name for it is "partial 16S ribosomal RNA". It matches the Rfam family "Bacterial small subunit ribosomal RNA", at positions 338 to 795 of the family's 1533-position model. The record is from RNAcentral.